Molecule: ribosomal RNA, 469 nt
Filed under: uncultured bacterium
Lineage: Bacteria
Description: partial 16S ribosomal RNA
Rfam family: Bacterial small subunit ribosomal RNA
Source: RNAcentral
GACGAACGCUGGCGGCGUGCUUAACACAUGCAAGUCGAACGAUGAAGCCUUAGCUUGCUUUGGUGGAUUAGUGGCGAACGGGUGAGUAACACGUGAGCAACGUGCCCAGGACUCUGGAAUAACCGCGGGAAACCGUGGCUAAUACCGGAUAGGUGCCGAGGCCGCAUGGUCUUCGGUUGGAAAGUUUUUGCGGUUCUGGAUCGGCUCACGGCCUAUCAGCUUGUUGGUGGGGUAAUGGCCUACCAAGGCGACGACGGGUAGCCGGCCUGAGAGGGUGACCGGCCACACUGGGACUGAGACACGGCCCAGACUCCUACGGGAGGCAGCAGUGGGGAAUAUUGCACAAUGGGCGGAAGCCUGAUGCAGCAACGCCGCGUGGGGGAUGACGGCCUUCGGGUUGUAAACCUCUUUUAGUAGGGAAGAAGCGCAAGUGACGGUAACUGCAGAAAAAGCACCGGCUAACUACGUG